Molecule: long non-coding RNA, 393 nt
Organism: Gavialis gangeticus (Gharial)
Lineage: Eukaryota; Metazoa; Chordata; Crocodylia; Gavialidae
Exons: 3
Source: RefSeq, a predicted model, not a curated record
GGAGAAUAUGACUAUUUAUCUCAGAACCAGAACUGUGAUCCAUGUCUUUGUUACCCCAGGAUCAGAGUACUGAGAGGUGCUUUGGUCCACAUGGAAGCAGAAUGCUUGAAGACAGAGAAAAUGGCUUUCAGGUGCCUAAAUUCCACUGAAAAUAAAAAAGAAUGAGACACCUCACUGCUAUCUUUUUCUGAAAAAAUCGUCCUUACUGAGGCACGAACUGAUGCUCAUUAAGCUCACUGGAAAGAGGAUUCAGCCUGAAAUUGUGGCCUCUAGAUGUCAUGAAACUACAAACUUCGCAGGUUCUUCUGAAGUGCUAGCUCAAGUUUGGAGCAGCCACAUGUUCAAGCCAGCAAAGGCCUUGAGGUAAGAAUGAUAAGAAUCCCUUCCUUCCUC